GAUGAACGCUGGCGGCGUGCCUAAUACAUGCAAGUCGAGCGAACGGACGAGAAGCUUGCUUCUCUGAUGUUAGCGGCGGACGGGUGAGUAACACGUGGAUAACCUACCUAUAAGACUGGGAUAACUUCGGGAAACCGUAGCUAAUACCGGAUAAUAUUUUGAACCGCAUGGUUCAAAAGUGAAAGACGGUCUUGCUGUCACUUAUAGAUGGAUCCGCGCUGCAUUAGCUAGUUGGUAAGGUAACGGCUUACCAAGGCAACGAUGCAUAGCCGACCUGAGAGGGUGAUCGGCCACACUGGAACUGAGACACGGUCCAGACUCCUACGGGAGGCAGCAGUAGGGAAUCUUCCGCAAUGGGCGAAAGCCUGACGGAGCAACGCCGCGUGAGUGAUGAAGGUCUUCGGAUCGUAAAACUCUGUUAUUAGGGAAGAACAUAUGUGUAAGUAACUGUGCACAUCUUGACGGUACCUAAUCAGAAAGCCACGGCUAACUCCGUG
This 497-nucleotide ribosomal RNA is filed under the name uncultured bacterium. Its description in RNAcentral is "partial 16S ribosomal RNA". It matches the Rfam family "Bacterial small subunit ribosomal RNA", at positions 28 to 507 of the family's 1533-position model. The record is from RNAcentral.